UAGCAACCUUUUAGAAAAGAACACACACCAAAAUAAUUGACGUCAUCUGCGAAAAGGACUCAUACUCCGAAGCUUCCAUCAGCAUUGCCGAAGCUGCGGCAGGUUAUAAAUAAUCCCACUCAGCCUACACUGCCACUUUUGUCUGUGAAGCAAACUCGGCUCCACUAGAUCGACCUUCUGAAUAAUGAUACUCAACUUCACUUACAUGUUAGCAACCACUGACACACUUUAAUUGUUCAUCAAAAACUGCUAAAGCUGUGUCCAGGCCAUGAAAACAUCUUCUGCUUAUAGUGACACCUUAACUGACGUUGAUUUUCUGCUAGUUGGUGACAAGCAUGAAUCCUUCGUGGAAAAAUUGCAGGAAUCGAGCUGUGUGGCUGGCUCUGCCCCCAGAGACCUGCUGCGUGAGCACAAGACUGCUCUUUUAUCUGUGACCGAAGAAGCUAACAGGAUGAUUCGGAGGCCAGGGGAAAACAUGCUCUAGGGAUUUCUCCUUUCAGACACUAAAACGGGAGGAAGAUUAAUGGCUGGCAAAGUCACACUGCAGAUUAUAAUUCUCUUCAGGCAGGUUAUAAAGGUGCCCUGACACCCUCUGUGAGGUGGGGGAGAUGAGUAAGGGGAGGGCCACACAGCUGCUUUCAAAGCCAUUUAUCAGCAAAGAAUGUAUCGCUCAGUAAAAUGACACCAUGUCUAAAUAUUCUUGCCUGGCAACCCUAUCUGUUUUAUGUUGGAGUGUGAACUAAAUGUGUCUUCAUGGUAAUCAGAAAAUAGAAUUUAUGCAUGUGAAAUACUUAAAUAUUAGACACAUAUGUUUAAUAAAACAAGCUGGCUUGUUCUAAACUCUGAAAGGAAUCAAGGUUAAAAUUUCAUAUGUGGGUUUGCUCAUCUAGUUGAUGAAUUACACAGACUGGCAGCUUUAUGAAUGUCAUAAGGACCCCAGCUUUCUGAUAAAAUAUGGAAUAUUUAUUUUGUUAGAUGGCAGGAUCUCCAUAUUAUUUUAAAAACUAUAUGUAUCAGAGAGAAAGAUACUGAGAGAGAGAUGUUCCCCUGGAAGAGGUAUUUAUUAACAAAGAUACAUGUAUUUGUUGGUUAUAAUGGGGCUCAGGAUAUGCUACUCCAAAAUUUGUCACCUUGCUAUGUUGAAUAUCUUAAGCAGAAGGAAUGUGAGAAAAGGGCAGAAGCGAGAAGGUCACUCUGACCUCACCCCCUUGUUUUUCUUCCCUGAAAGCAGGAGAUAAAGCUCCCAAGUGAAAGGUACCCUCUCUGUGCCAGGAGGAAAGAAGGCUUUCUUAUCACACUAGAGCCAAGAAUUUGGGGCCUAGAUAUCUGUACAAAACAAACCUUGUUAAACUAACCCUUAUUAGUUAUUUCUUCACCAUUUACCACCCCAAUACCAAAUCCCUUUGCCUUGUCAAUUAUCUAUUGCAUCUUUGUUUAACAGGAGUCCCCAGCCUUCAGGAUCUAAUGCCUGAUGAUCUGAGAUGGAGCUGAUGUAAUAAUAAUAGAAAUAAAGUGCAUAAUACGUGUAACAUGCUUGAAUCAUCCCCAAACCAUCGCCCCCACCCCCACCCCCCAGUCCAUUGAAAAAUUGUUUCCCAUGAAAUUGGUCCCUGGUGCCAAAAAGGUUGGAUAACGCUUGUCUGAAAGGUAUAAAAGUCUCCUCUUCUGGUCACUUUUUGGGUCUUCAUUGUUUUGUGAAGUCUCCCACGUAUAUAUAAAAA
This is a long non-coding RNA of Bubalus bubalis (water buffalo), 1721 nucleotides long. RefSeq lists it as uncharacterized. The record is from RefSeq and is a predicted model, not a curated record. The transcript is spliced from 2 exons. NCBI's taxonomy places the organism in Eukaryota, Metazoa, Chordata, Mammalia, Artiodactyla, Bovidae.